This 206-nucleotide ribosomal RNA is filed under the name Clostridioides difficile. Its description in RNAcentral is "partial 16S ribosomal RNA". It matches the Rfam family "Bacterial small subunit ribosomal RNA", at positions 993 to 1199 of the family's 1533-position model. The record is from RNAcentral. Lineage: Bacteria; Bacillati; Bacillota; Clostridia; Peptostreptococcales; Peptostreptococcaceae.
GACAUCUCCUUAAUCGGAGAGUUCCCUUCGGGGACAUUGGUGACAGGUGGUGCAUGGUUGUCGUCAGCUCGUGUCGUGGGAUGUUGGGUUAAGUCCCGCAACGAGCGCAACCCUUGUCUUUAGUUGCCAUCAUUAAGUUGGGCACUCUAGGGAGACUGCCAGGGAUAACCUGGAGGAAGGUGGGGAUGACGUCAAAUCAUCAUGCC